RNAcentral lists this ribosomal RNA (442 nucleotides) under uncultured bacterium. Its description in RNAcentral is "partial 16S ribosomal RNA". It matches the Rfam family "Bacterial small subunit ribosomal RNA", at positions 338 to 795 of the family's 1533-position model. The record is from RNAcentral.
CCUACGGGAGGCAGCAGUGGGGGAUAUUGCACAAUGGGGGAAACCCUGAUGCAGCGACGCCGCGUGGGCGAAGAAGUAUUUCGGUAUGUAAAGCCCUAUCAGCAGGGAAGAAGAAAUGACGGUACCUGAGUAAGAAGCACCGGCUAAAUACGUGCCAGCAGCCGCGGUAAUACGUAUGGUGCAAGCGUUAUCCGGAUUUACGGGGUGGAAAGGGAGCGCAGGCGGCACGGCAAGCCUGAUGUGAAAGCCCGCGGCCCAACCGCGGGACUGCAUUUGGAACUACCGGGCUGGAGUGCCGGAGAGGUAGGCGGAAUUCCUAGUGUAGCGGUGAAAUGCGUAGAGAUUAGGAGGAACACCAGUGGCGAAGGCGGCCUACUGGACGGUGACUGACGCUGAGGCUCGAAAGCGUGGGGAGCAAACAGGAUUAGAUACCCGUGUAGUC